RNAcentral lists this ribosomal RNA (428 nucleotides) under uncultured prokaryote. Its description in RNAcentral is "bacterial SSU rRNA". It matches the Rfam family "Bacterial small subunit ribosomal RNA", at positions 355 to 776 of the family's 1533-position model. The record is from RNAcentral. RNAcentral also lists the same sequence under 1 other name.
UAGGGAGUUUUCGGCAAUGGGGGAAACCCUGACCGAGCAACGCCGCGUGAAUGAUGAAGGCCUUCGGGUCGUAAAAUUCUGUUGUAAGAGACGAACUGUGAGGGUAGGAAAUGCCCCUCACUUGACUGUAUCUUACGAGAAAGGGACGGCUAACUACGUGCCAGCAGCCGCGGUAAUACGUAGGUCCCAAGCGUUAUCCGGAAUUAUUGGGCGUAAAGAGUGAGUAGGUGGUUUCUUAAGUCUGGAGUUAAAGGCAGUAGCUCAACUAUUGUACGCUUUGGAAACUGGGAGACUAGAGUGCGGGAGAGGUAAAUGGAACUCCAUGUGUAGCGGUAAAAUGCGUAGAUAUAUGGAAGAACACCAGUGGCGAAGGCGAUUUACUAGACCGAUACUGACACUGAGGCGCGAAAGCGUGGGUAUCAAACAGG